AUUGAACGCUGGCGGCAUGCCUUACACAUGCAAGUCGAACGGCAGCGGACCUUCGGGUGCCGGCGAGUGGCGAACGGGUGAGUAAUAUAUCGGAACGUACCUUUCAGUGGGGGAUAACGUAGCGAAAGUUACGCUAAUACCGCAUAUUCUGUGAGCAGGAAAGCAGGGGAUCGCAAGACCUUGCGCUGAUUGAGCGGCCGAUAUCAGAUUAGCUAGUUGGUGAGAUAAAGGCUCACCAAGGCGACGAUCUGUAGCGGGUCUGAGAGGAUGAUCCGCCACACUGGAACUGAGACACGGUCCAGACUCCUACGGGAGGCAGCAGUGGGGAAUUUUGGACAAUGGGCGCAAGCCUGA
Molecule: ribosomal RNA, 354 nt
Filed under: uncultured bacterium
Lineage: Bacteria
Description: bacterial SSU rRNA
Rfam family: Bacterial small subunit ribosomal RNA
Source: RNAcentral